RNAcentral lists this ribosomal RNA (640 nucleotides) under uncultured soil bacterium. RNAcentral's name for it is "partial 16S ribosomal RNA". The record is from RNAcentral.
CGUUCGCUCCCCUGGCUUUCGCGCCUCAGCGUCAGUGUCAGCCCAGCAACCCGCCUUCGCCGCAGGUCUUCCUCUCGAUAUCUACGCAUUUCACCGCUACACCGAGAAUUCCAGUUGCCCCUUCUGCACUCUAGUCCGACAGUAUCACUUGACCUUUCCGAGUUAAGCCCGGAGAUUUCACAAGUGACUUGUCACGACCGCCUACGCGCCCUUUACGCCCAGUAAAUCCGAACAACGCUUGCUCCCCCCGUAUUACCGCGGCUGCUGGCACGGAGUUAGCCGGAGCUUACAAACAGUACCGUCAUCAUGGGGGGUAUUGUCCCCCACUUAUUCUUCCUGUUCUUGCGAAGUUUACAUCCCGAGGGAUUUCAUCCUUCACGCGGCGUUGCUGGGUCAGGCUUUCGCCCAUUGCCCAAAAUUCCCGACUGCUGCCUCCCGUAGGAGUCUGACCCGUAUGUCAGUGUCAGUGUGGCCGACCGCCCUCUCAGGCCGGCUACGGAUCGAUGCCUUGGUGAGCCAUUACCUCACCAACUAGCUAAUCCGCCGCAGGCUCCUCUUUAGGCGCGAGGUCUUGCGAUCCCCCGCUUUAACAACUGUCUCGAUGUCGAGCCGCUGCAUUAUGCGGUAUUAGCAGCCGUUC